RNAcentral lists this ribosomal RNA (734 nucleotides) under Escherichia coli. RNAcentral's name for it is "partial 23S ribosomal RNA". It matches the Rfam family "Bacterial large subunit ribosomal RNA", at positions 506 to 1239 of the family's 2925-position model. The record is from RNAcentral. Lineage: Bacteria; Pseudomonadati; Pseudomonadota; Gammaproteobacteria; Enterobacterales; Enterobacteriaceae.
AGGGAAAGGCGAAAAGAACCCCGGCGAGGGGAGUGAAAAAGAACCUGAAACCGUGUACGUACAAGCAGUGGGAGCACAGAGCAAUCUGUGUGACUGCGUACCUUUUGUAUAAUGGGUCAGCGACUUAUAUUCUGUAGCAAGGUUAACCGAAUAGGGGAGCCGAAGGGAAACCGAGUCUUAACUGGGCGUUAAGUUGCAGGGUAUAGACCCGAAACCCGGUGAUCUAGCCAUGGGCAGGUUGAAGGUUGGGUAACACUAACUGGAGGACCGAACCGACUAAUGUUGAAAAAUUAGCGGAUGACUUGUGGCUGGGGGUGAAAGGCCAAUCAAACCGGGAGAUAGCUGGUUCUCCCCGAAAGCUAUUUAGGUAGCGCCUCGUGAAUUCAUCUCCGGGGGUAGAGCACUGUUUCGGCAAGGGGGUCAUCCCGACUUACCAACCCGAUGCAAACUGCGAAUACCGGAGAAUGUUAUCACGGGAGACACACGGCGGGUGCUAACGUCCGUCGUGAAGAGGGAAACAACCCAGACCGCCAGCUAAGGUCCCAAAGUCAUGGUUAAGUGGGAAACGAUGUGGGAAGGCCCAGACAGCCAGGAUGUUGGCUUAGAAGCAGCCAUCAUUUAAAGAAAGCGUAAUAGCUCACUGGUCGAGUCGGCCUGCGCGGAAGAUGUAACGGGGCUAAACCAUGCACCGAAGCUGCGGCAGCGACACUGUGUGUUGUUGGGUAGGGGAGCGU